Mustela putorius furo (domestic ferret) is the source of this 5024-nucleotide long non-coding RNA. NCBI's taxonomy places the organism in Eukaryota, Metazoa, Chordata, Mammalia, Carnivora, Mustelidae. The record is from Ensembl.
AUGACAUUAUUGUAUUUACUGCAACAGCAACCACACCCUCCCCAGAAGCGUGUUGCUUCUUUACCUUCGGACUCGUCUUCAGCUCCGUCUCUGGACGUUUUGCAGAAGUCAUUUCUGCAAAGGCUGCAAAGCAAAAUGUCAGUGCAGUCCUGUCUCAGCUGCAAAACAGAAUGCCAGGACUGUUUUAUUGUAGCUGUCCUGACUCUGUAUUUUCUUGCCGGGGACCCUGGCCCUGACCACCUAAAUGUCCAACUAACUCCUAACACAUGGACCAGGUGCCGAGAGCCAGGGAGCUCCCAGGGACCAGGCAGGAGGUGGCUGCUGGCACGAGGAAGGUCGGUGGGGAGGCAGGAUGACCUGAAUACCAGGUGAGUCCCCACUCUCUCCAGACUCCAAGCAGAGCACGGAUUGGGAUCUCUAUUGGUGGAGUAAAUUCAGAUGGGUUAUUAGGUGUGGUGUGGGGUUUAGAGGAUUACAGGUGCAGGUUUUGCUGCUCAGCAGGAGCCUCAGCCCUGACCUUCAUGAGACUUCCCAUCGGUGUCAUGUGCACACUCUUCCUGACUGCUGAGAGUCCCCCACCAGCUGGCAUAGGCCAGAUUUCGGCUUUGAUUUCUGCCUGUCCCUGCAUCACUAAAGUCUGGCCCCCGUGGUUUCCCUGAACACAUGGAACUCAGAUUCGCCGUGUCCCUUUUGCUUUUGUGUCCCUUCUCUUCCUGCCCAUCUAUCCAGUUCUACCCACGCUCUGAGGCUGAGAUCAAGUUUUCUCCUGGAACAUGUCCCAGGCCACGUGGCUUCCUCUCUCUGGCUUCCGAUCCCCACCGCUCUCUUUAGCAUGAACCAAAAUACUGUUCUGAAUUGCCCAUAUUGAUCCAGUGUUUCUCUGGAGUGUCCUGUCUCCUUGCUGGUAAAUGAGGGAUUCAGCUGCAAAGCAUACUUUGCAGGUAUGGCAUCCUAGAUGCUAUGCCUGUUUGUCUCAUACCCUCAUCUGGACUGUAAGCUCCUUAAAUGGAGGGACACAGUCUUUUCCUCGCAUUGACUAGCCCACUGCUGGGCCCCGAGUGGGUGUUCCAUAGGAACUUUUGUUUACUUAACCUCUUUGUAUACUUUUUCCUACUGGAACUGGAAGUCUGGUCUUGUAGUCCGCCCUGAAGGGAAAUUGUUCUGCAGUCUACGGAUGUGGCAAACAUUGCCAUGACAUCUCAACUCUCAAUGUAUUCUGUUGCAGGGAGUGGACACUGGGGAGCUCUGCCCAGCAUAGGAAGCUGUCUUAAGAAAGGGGGCCAAGGACACCCCCUCCCCAGCACAUACAUUUGGUGGUAAAGUAGAAAAUAGUGCUCAGCUUGGUUCAUGUUUUUGUUUGGCUCCUUAAAACCCACGGGACUGGGACAAGACACAUGGCCUGUGUGAGCUGCGUUGGCUUACCUCUGAGAUGGCAUUUGUGAUACCUGCCUGUGUCUCUCGAAGGGUUGUUGUGGGAAUAAAAAGAUAAGCCACGGGGAAAUGCUCUGUAAAUGAUGAAGCUAAGAGGGGUAGGUGUGAAGUGUGGUUACUUAACGUCUCAACAUAAAAGGUCAAAAAAGUAAAACAUGAAAAUGAAACAUAAAAAGAGAGUCAAAGAGCUCUCUCUUUUCCUUCCUUCACUGAUGGACAAAGAACCACUUCUCUUCUCUGGAUAAUAGUCUGUAGAGACUCCGUACCCCCUGCCCUGCCAAAAAUAAAAAAUAAAAAAGAAGAAAGAAAUCAAAAGGAAAAAAAAAGUCCAGGAGUGAGAAGGAACAUCCUGGUAUAUUCUGAAAGUUGACUCUGAGAAGAGAGGAAAACAUGAGCAAACAAAAGCUGUCACUCACUGGCAAGCUGCUUCCUCUGGGGAAUAAUCUCUGUGAGGAAAAACUCAAGAUCUGAAUGUUGUUGCCUGGGAGCAGGCGCAGAGACUGUGGCCAUGGCUGGUAAAACAGGAGCCUCUGGGAUGGAGCCUUUUCUGCCCAUUUUUGGGGUAUCAGAAGCUCUGAGGGGGUCAUGCUAUUGGUUAAGAGUCUGCCUGAAUGGGUGCCAUGUCCCUAUUUCUCAGUAUCCCAGCAGCUCUCGUGAAUGGUGCCAGGCCUUGUCCCACUGACGUCGACUGGAACAUACCCACCCACCCUUGGACUCUCACACACUCGUGCCUCUCUUUCCCUUAUCCUGUCCCCACCUCCCUCUUCUCACACCCAUUUGCCUUGCCUGUCAAUUGUCACCCCAUGAAUCAAAGUCAGAGAACUUCCCAAAGUUGGCCACUGGGCCUCUAACCUUCUAGAAAGCUGUUUGUGUGUUAACAGACAACCCCCCCCCCCACCAAACCAAGCACCAUCAUGACUUUCCAAGAUGAUGAUUGAGUUUUUCCCCUGUUCUGCUUGAUAGUUCUGCCAAAGCAAGAAAAAUCCUCAUUGAAGUCUAGCAGGAAAUCCAAUAAAAAUUCUUCAAAAGAUGGGCUUGACAUUGAAAAACAGCAAAAUUAUAAAAUAGGCCUUAGAAAAGAGAGAGGAGAGUUAUUAUAUCUGGCACCAAGCAAAAGCCCCGAGACCCCGUCCAAAUGAGCCAUCACAGAUUGAAAGUGUUUAGCUUCCCGUUGAUUAAAUAUGGAGAAGGACCCAGGGCCUGCCAAGCCUCCGGGAUCCAAAGUUUGUUUUUAGUCAGAAUGUGUUUUCAGUCAAUGGAAAAAAUGGUCGGCCUGCGCUGGGCUAUGUAACCGAGAAGCCCCAGGUUUGGGGUGAGUAAUGGCUGUGAGGCAGAAAACCAUGAGGGCUGUUAAUCAUCCCUCCCAGGCCCCUGUAAUUUAACUCAGCGACUCAUUCCACUUGGAAGGCUCCCCCCCAUCCCCUUUCUUCCUUCUCCCUCAGUUGAUUUUUGCUCAGGGGGGAAUAGAUGAGUCCUUCUGAUGCUUAUCUCUGUGUUUCAGUUGUGAAGACUCCUCACCCGCAAGACAUCCCUCUCCCGGGACAGGUCCCCAUUGCCCCGCUUCUCUGAACACCCCCGGGACAGGAGAAGUGAAAGAGGGGCCGCGGUCACAUCCGUGGGGUUCUUCCAGGGAUCUCUCUUUGUCCCAUGAACUUCCUGGAAUGGAGGCCUGGAAAAAUCUCUUCCUUCAUGGGUUUCCGAGGUGUUUACUGACAUUCUUUAAACUGGGUUAUCUUAUUCCAGGCUUGCAGUUUUCUUUUUUCCUGAGCUCUCCUCUGGCCUGCUGCAUUCCCAUACAAUUAAGAGGAUAGGGAGCCUGGUUUUGAAGGUCAUGAAAGGCGCUAGGAGUGAGACUCUGAGGCAGAGAAUGAGGAGGAGAGAGCUGGCGCGCAGCUGGAACUCUGAGGUAAGCGGAACCUCCUUUCCUGUCAAAUGCAAACACCUCUUCUAUUUUUCUGCUUCAAGUUUUACACCCUGUGAGCAGCCUCAGGGGAGCGGGGAUGCGGGUGCAUUUCUGAUUCUCUUCCCUGUGAGCCUUCCUCGGGGCGCGGGAACCAGGGUCUUCCCUGGAAGGAUGGGUUUCCCUGGCUUCCCCUCUCCCGAUGACCGUGAUUCAUGGGGCCCACUGCACCGAAAUCUGUUUACAAUUGCAGGGGGUAGGCCCUGCUGAGCAUUCUUUUGGUCUGUCGUUCCUUGCAAAAUGGUGGUUGGCCUGAGCCGCAGCUUGCACACAGUGUGGGCGGCUUGAUACCUUUCGGUUGGGCACCCAAAUUUGGUUAUAGGAAGUCACUCCGACCAAAUAUUUUUUGAGGACUAGGCAAAUAAACUAGAGAAAAUGAGUAAAUAAAUAGCUUGAAAAUGAUGACAUGUGAAAUGCUCAGUGGUUUAGUGGAAACAGACUCUUAAGGAGAGCAAGUCUCAGGCAGCUCGGCUGCAGAGGCCACCGGCCCAGUCAGUGGAUGCCCUGAAUAAUGAGCGACGAAGGGGUCAGGAAGAGACCGCUCCAUGGGGCUACGUUGCCCCAAAUAGCAGCUAGAUGGGCUCUGGGCAGGAACGUAAAUAAACGCCGUGGAGAGGUUGUAGCGCGUCUGUACGCAGGCGUGUGCGCAUGUGCGUGUCUGUACGUGCGCGUGCGCAGAAGAGGGAGCUGCUUCGGCUGCCGCCAUUCUGGGGGCGGUGGUCAAGGAGGACCUUAUAAGUGAGUCAAAGCUGGUUUUCAGGUACAACCCUCUUUCUUCACAUUAUUUUAGUCCUCCUCCUCUUCAUCAUGGCUAUUACUUAUUGAGUCAUGGUGACGUGCCCGCAUGGUGCUGGCAGCUUUCUGUGUUAUCUGAUGUAGUCCUUCUAACAGCUCCUUAGAACAUGCCUUAUUUGCCGCCUUCGCAAUAGGUAUCUGAAAUUCAGCUUCCAGAAGAACCCAAAGCUUGACAGUGACAGAGUCAGGAUCUGAACUCCGGUCUUGUCUAGUUUCCUGCCUUGAACCCACAAAGGCAGUCUGGUGGGCAGGUUCUGGCAGGCAGUCAUCCCAGGGCCCAGACAUUUGGAGAGAACCCAGUAGGGUCCAAAUCAAAAACCCCACUUCAUAAGGGGAAGAAAACCAGAAGUCUCAUCAGGUGGGGAGCCUGCAUUUCAAAAGUUGUGGAGGCUGCUGAGUGCCUCACGGACAACAAGCAAGCCCAGAUUGGAAGGGUCAGUGGCGGGUCACUGUCACCAUCAAUCACCACAAUCCCUUUGUCGGGGUGAGUGGGAAGGGCCUGGGUUGGGCACCAAGCAGAGAGGGUGAACCAACAGAAUUGAAGGGACUCUGCUGGUGGCAGGAGAUGGGAAGGGGCAUUCACAAUUCUUAUGCAAAUCUCCAUGGUUUGGGGAAUACCCUGGUGGGAGAGAAUAUGCUAUCUCUAGGUCCCAGAACUGUGAUGAUGACCGGCAUUCCCAUAACAAGCUAGCGCAUCCCGAGGUUGAGUCACCUCUAAAGAAGACUUGAUUUUUUAAUGUGUCUGUUCAUCCAGUUUGCUUCCUUGACCCACAUCACCACAGAGCUGGAAGUUAUCAAGAAAUACAUUAUGAUGUAUUCAGAGUCAAUUACCAUUGGG